RNAcentral lists this ribosomal RNA (458 nucleotides) under uncultured Kaistia sp. RNAcentral describes it as "partial 16S ribosomal RNA". Lineage: Bacteria; Pseudomonadati; Pseudomonadota; Alphaproteobacteria; Hyphomicrobiales; Kaistiaceae. The record is from RNAcentral.
CACGAAGUUAGCCGGGGCUUCUUCUCCGACUACAGUCAUUAUCUUCAUCGGCGAAAGUGCUUUACAACCCUAAGGCCUUCAUCACACACGCGGCAUGGCUGGAUCAGGCUUGCGCCCAUUAGUCCAAUAUUCCCCACUGCUGCCUCCCGUAGGAGUCUGGGCCGUGUCUCAGUCCCAGUGUGGCUGGUCAUCCUCUCAGACCAGCUAAGGAUCGUCGCCUUGGUGAGCCAUUACCUCACCAACUAGCUAAUCCUACGCGGGCUCAUCUUAUGGCGAUAAAUCUUUCCCCCGAAGGGCUCAUACGGUAUUAGCCAAAGUUUCCCUUGGUUGUUCCCGUACCACAAGGUAGAUUCCCACGCGUUACUCACCCGUCUGCCACUCCCUGUUGCCAGGGCGUUCGACUUGCAUGUGUUAGGCCUGCCGCCAGCGUCGUUCGUGUGCGACGGAAGUCAAACUAC